RNAcentral lists this ribosomal RNA (253 nucleotides) under uncultured bacterium. Its description in RNAcentral is "partial 16S ribosomal RNA". It matches the Rfam family "Bacterial small subunit ribosomal RNA", at positions 524 to 776 of the family's 1533-position model. The record is from RNAcentral.
UACGAGAGGCCCGAGCGUUAGGCGGAAUCACUGGGCUUAAAGGGUGCGUAGGCGGACGUGUAAGCGUGUUGUGAAAGCCCCCGGCUCAACCGGGGAACUGCGGUGCGAACUGCACGUCUUGAGGCAGGUAGGGGCCGGUGGAACGUUCGGUGGAGCGGUGAAAUGCGUAGAUAUCGAACGGAACGCCCAUGGUGAAGACAGCCGGCUGGGCCUGUCCUGACGCUGAGGCACGAAAGCGUGGGGAGCAAACAGG